GAGACCUUGACAUUGCACAGACGGA
This 25-nucleotide non-coding RNA is filed under the name Cricetulus griseus (Chinese hamster). Lineage: Eukaryota; Metazoa; Chordata; Mammalia; Rodentia; Cricetidae. The record is from RNAcentral.